Nothobranchius furzeri (turquoise killifish) is the source of this 8813-nucleotide non-coding RNA. The record is from RefSeq and is a predicted model, not a curated record. NCBI's taxonomy places the organism in Eukaryota, Metazoa, Chordata, Actinopteri, Cyprinodontiformes, Nothobranchiidae.
GACUCACUUGGCCGGCUGGUUAAUGAUGACCACAAGUACCCAAACUGCAAGAUGAAACAGCUGGCAGUCCAGUAUAAACCUCAUCUCUGCUUGUUUGCUAUUGACAAUAUCCAAGCAGAGAGUGAAAUCACCUAUGACUAUGGAGAAUCUAUGUGGCCACGGCGAGCUCUGACGCCAAGUGUUGAGACCAUGUCCCAACCUCCUACAGACCAAGAAACACCAAGUGUUGAGACCAUGUCCCAAACUCCUACAGACCAAGAAGUGAGUGAAAAAUCGGAAGAAAAGUUAUGAGCCACCAAAGCUGUUUUUGGAAACCGGCCUUCAAGUGACACCACGCCCGGUGACCUUUGGGACAUGGUUUGACCCCCUUAGGAAUGUGCUAUCAUCAUGAAACGUUCAGAUCACUUACAACUCCAUAGAUUAUACUUUCACGUGAUGUUUCAGCCUGAUUGGACCUUGUUUUCACACAAAUGGACCCAGAAAUAUGUGAAAUUGGGCUUUGUGCGACAUAAUUCUGGGUGCCAUUUAAAAACCAGAUCUGAGCUCUCUAGGACAUUCAGAAGAAAAGUUAUAAGCCCGCAAAUGUGUGUUAGGAACCACGCCUUUAAAGAACAAGUGAUCCGAUGACCUUUGUGACAUCAUUUGACCCCAUUAGGAAUGAGCUAUCAUCAUGAACCGUUGGAAUCACUUCUAACUCAAUAGAUUCUACCUUCCUGUGAUGUUUCAGCCUGAUUGAAGCUUUUUUCAGAGAACUGGACCCAGAAAUAUGUGAAAUUGUGGUUUGUGCGACAUAAUUCUGGGUGCCAUUUAAAACCCAUAAGUGGUAAUGACUCCAUUCCUUCUGUUCCAGAUAUAGACCAUUAAUUGGAGUAUUUUAAAAUCAACCUGACCUCUCUAGGAUAUUCUGAAGCCAAGUUAUAAGCCCACAAAGGUGUAACCGGACACUACCUGACUAUAUCUACUUGGACAUGCGUCCCGAAAGGGCCCUCGAAAAGGUCCGACGGCCGCAAUUUCGACGUGUGUCGAUGAGAUGGUAGCCGGGAUGCACCACAAAAAAUUUCGUGCGGCUACGCCUGACUGAAUUCAAGCGGCGGCCCGAAAGUGUUAAAAUUUAGCUCAGGCUUUGUUUGCGGCCUUCUGCCACUUGAGACCCUUUUCGUCCGCCAUUCAGCCCACGUUGGUCCGAGGCACCCGAAAAUUCUUCUGGUGCAUCCCACCACUAGCCCGAACCACAGAUUUUGAAUUUGUGCCGGUCGCAUCGUGUAAAGCGUCCGUUUGGGGCCGGACGGCAGUGUUCCCUCCUUUUUUGUCAUGUGCUCGGCAAAGUGGCAUUUCUCAACCGAUUUUAACAAAACAAACAUUGAUUUGGCAUGCCGCCGUCACCCCGAGCUAGCCCAGGCAGUUUGGUAGCCGUAGCUCGUUGUUCCGGUGCUUUUCUGAACCCUAGGUCGCCAGAGGUCACGCUCUUUUUUGGCUACAGCUCCUCAAGCAAACGCCCAAUCCGUCCCGUUUUUGGAGAGGUGGUCCCCGUGGUGCCAAGCAAUCAUAAUCCGCUGUCAAAAUUGAAAAGAAAAAAAAAGUCGCUUCAGAGUUAGGCCAAAAAAUGUCCUCUGAGACGUAACGCCUCAAAGAGGACUUGUGUUUUGCUGUUACAAAGUGGAAAAAAAAAGUUCUGCUGGUGCCAGCGGCGCCAUCUUCGGAUAUGUGGUUCGGGGGCCAAGCACUAGUCCACCCGAGGUGAUUUGGUGGCAAAAUAUUUUGUGGUUCCGGAGAUAUAGCCCCCCAAAGCGCGCAAUUUUUGCAAGUUUGCAAAGGCGCAAUUCUAGCGCCGUGAGGGCUAUCAAAAAGGCGAGUAGAUUUUUGCUCUCGUACCGGACUUACAAACCAGAGAGUGAAAUUUUUUUUGACUGCGCCCACUAGUGGCCGAACUCAGUCAGUGAGCGACGUAGCGUGACGCAUUUUAGAAAUUAUGAUUUGGCAUGUCCUUCUUUACAACAUAUGUGAAUUUCAUGUCCCUACGUAGAAAUAAACUAUUUUUAAUUAAUUAAAAGCAACGGACAAAACCCUAGGCCCCAAAUGAAGCCUGGCCAAGAUUUGAGCCCCUUUUUGGCUGCCGUUCGGCCAUCGUUGAUCCGAGGCUCACGAAAAUUUUUUUGUUUUACCCCAGUGCUGGUCCGAACCAUAGAUUUCAAAUUUGUGUCGGUCGCAUCGUGUUAAGCGUCCGUUUGGGGCCGGAUGGCACUUUUCCCGCCUUUUUUGCCAUGUGCUCGGCAAAGUGGCAUUUCUCAACCGAUUUUCACCAAACAAACGUCGAUUUGGCACGCCGCCAUCACCCCGAGCUAGCCCAGGCAGUUUGGUAGCCGUAGCUCAUUGUUCUGGUGCUGUUCUGGGUCAGAGGUCAGAAAAAAUGAUGGAUUUCAGCUGAAAAACAGGGUUCUCUUCAACCUACAGACUUGCAACUGAUAUGCUCCUUGACCUCACAUGUCCAACAUAUGUUAAUUUCAGACAGAUUGGAGCUUGUAUCACAGAUAUGCAACCAGAAAUAUGUGAAAUUGUGCUUGGUGCAACAUAAUUCUGUGUCCCAUUUUAAAACCAUAAGAGCUAAUAGGGGCUGUUAAUUGGAGUAAUUUAAAACCAAGCUGACCUCUCUAGGACAUUCAGAAGCCAAGUUAUAAGCCCCCAAAGCUGUUUUUGUAAGCAGGCCUUUAAGGCAGAAGUGAUCCGGUGACAUUUAUGACAUCAUUUGACCCCAUUAGGACUGAGCUAUCAUCAUGAAACGUUGGAAUCACUUAUAACUCAAUAGAUUCUGCUUUCCUGUGAUUUUUCAGCCUGAUUGAAGAUUUUUUCAGUGAACUGGACCCAGAAUAAUGUGAAAUUGUGCUUGGGGCUAUCAUCAUGAAACGUUCAGAUCACUUACAACUCAAUAGAUCUUCAUUCUUCCAACAGGUCACACAUUAUUUUUUGUAUUUGGAAUCAAGUAUAUGAGUCAGUUGGGCCUAGUGCAUGAAUGAAAUGCACUUUGAUUGUAUUAAAACAAUCAGUUUGAGUGAAAGUUUCCCCAAAUCAACAAAAGCAUUAAGAGAAAGAAAUUGUCUAUACCAUUUGUUAGUCCAAACUUCCCCUUUAAGCAUUUGCUUGAUCUUUAUUCUGUCUAAAUUUAAUAUUUUUGCCCUUUUACACAUGUUUUUGUCCAUUUAACCUGAAGCUGAUCAGUUUACAUGAUUGGAUUUCUGGGGAAAUAGAUGGCUUUACAUGAGUGUUGGGUUUAGAGCUUUUAUUGACAACAGCAGAUGUUAGAAGUCAGGAACAUGAACUUUACAUGUGUUCAGUCGUCAUGUCCUCAUAUUGUUUCAAGCUGUGAAGGAGAUGUGUGUGUUUCAGAAUACGUCCUCAUAUGGUUGGACCAACAACUGUAGUGUGUGUGUUACACUGUCCUCAUAUUGUUGGGUAGCAGAACUGUACAGUGUUAAUAGUUUCUAUACAGUCUGAUAUAAGGAACUCAGAUUCUUCUGUGAAUUAUAUUCACUGAAAUAAGAAUGAUCUGUAGCUAAUGAACUAGUCAGGAUUUACAUUGUUGUCUUUUGUUUCAGACACCAAGUGUUGAGACCAUGUCCCAACCUCCUACAGACCAAGAAGUGAGUGAAAAAUUCACUUCAUUCUUCCAACAGGUCACACAUUAAUUUUUGUAUUUGAAAUAAAGUAUAUGAGUCAGUUGGGCCUAGUGCAUAAAUGAAAUGCACUUUGAUUGUGUUAAAACAAUCAGUUUGAGUGAAAGUUUCCCCAAAUCAACAUUAGCAUUAGGAGAAAGAAAUUGUCUAUACCAUUUGUUAGUCCAAACUUUCCCUUUAAGCAUUUGCUUGAUCUUUAUUCUAACUAAAUUUAAUAUUUUUGUCCUUUUACACAUGUUUUUGUCCAUUUAACCUGAAGCUGAUCAGUUAAUAUGAUUGGAUUUCUGGGGAAAUAGAUGGCUUUACAUCAGUGUUGGGUUUAGAGCUUUUAUUGACAACAGCAGGAGAAGCUAGAAGUCAGGAACAUGAACACUACAUGUGUUCAGUCGUCAUGUCCUCAUAUUGUUUCAAGCUGUGAAGGAGAUGUGUGUGUUUCAGAAUACGUCCUCAUAUGGUUGGACCAACAACUGUAGUGUGUGUGUUACACUGUCCUCAUAUUGUUGGGUAGCAGAACUGUACAGUGUUAAUAGUUUCUAUACAGUCUGAUAUAAGGAACUCAGAUUCUUCUGUGAAUAAUAUUCACUGAAACAAGUAUGAUCUGUAGUUAAUGAACUAGUCAGGAUUCAUAGUACAGAAUGUUUCUGACAUUAUAUUGUUGUCUUUUGUUGCAGACACCAAGUGUUGAGACCAUGUCCCAAACUCCUACAGACCAAGAAGUGAGUGAAAAAUCGGAAGAAAAGUUAUGAGCCACCAAAGCUGUUUUUGGAAACCGGCCUUCAAGUGACACCACGCCCGGUGACCUUUGGGACAUGGUUUGACCCCCUUAGGAAUGUGCUAUCAUCAUGAAACGUUCAGAUCACUUACAACUCCAUAGAUUAUACUUUCACGUGAUGUUUCAGCCUGAUUGGACCUUGUUUUCACACAAAUGGACCCAGAAAUAUGUGAAAUUGGGCUUUGUGCGACAUAAUUCUGGGUGCCAUUUAAAAACCAGAUCUGAGCUCUCUAGGACAUUCAGAAGAAAAGUUAUAAGCCCGCAAAUGUGUGUUAGGAACCACGCCUUUAAAGAACAAGUGAUCCGAUGACCUUUGUGACAUCAUUUGACCCCAUUAGGAAUGAGCUAUCAUCAUGAACCGUUGGAAUCACUUCUAACUCAAUAGAUUCUACCUUCCUGUGAUGUUUCAGCCUGAUUGAAGCUUUUUUCAGAGAACUGGACCCAGAAAUAUGUGAAAUUGUGGUUUGUGCGACAUAAUUCUGGGUGCCAUUUAAAACCCAUAAGUGGUAAUGACUCCAUUCCUUCUGUUCCAGAUAUAGACCAUUAAUUGGAGUAUUUUAAAAUCAACCUGACCUCUCUAGGAUAUUCUGAAGCCAAGUUAUAAUCCCACAAAGGUGUAACCGGACACUACCUGACGAUUUCUACUUGGAAAUGCGUCCCGAAAGGGCCCUCGAAAAGGUCCGACGGCCGCAAUUUCGACGUGUGUCGAUGAGAUGGUAGCCGGGAUGCACCACAAAAAAUUUCGUGCGGCUACGCCUGACUGAAUUCAAACGGCGGCCCGAAAGUGUUAAAAUUUAGCUCAGGCUUUGUUUGCGGCCUUCUGCCACUUGAGACCCUUUUCGUCCGCCAUUCAGCCCACGUUGGUCCGAGGCACCCGAAAAUUCUUCUGGUGCAUCCCACCACUAGCCCGAACCACAGAUUUUGAAUUUGUGCCGGUCGCAUCGUGUAAAGCGUCCGUUUGGGGCCGGACGGCAGUGUUCCCUCCUUUUUUGUCAUGUGCUCGGCAAAGUGGCAUUUCUCAACCGAUUUUAACAAAACAAACAUUGAUUUGGCAUGCCGCCGUCACCCCGAGCUAGCCCAGGCAGUUUGGUAGCCGUAGCUCGUUGUUCCGGUGCUUUUCUGAACCCUAGGUCGCCAGAGGUCACGCUCUUUUUUGGCCACAGCUCCUCAAGCAAACGCCCAAUCCGUCCCGUUUUUGGAGAGGUGGUCCCCGUGGUGCCAAGCAAUCAUAAUCCGCUGUCAAAAUUGAAAAGAAAAAAAAAGUCGCUUCAGAGUUAGGCCAAAAAAUGUCCUCUGAGACGUAACGCCUCAAAGAGGACUUGUGUUUUGCUGUUACAAAGUGGAAAAAAAAAGUUCUGCUGGUGCCAGCGGCGCCAUCUUCGGACAUGUGGUUCGGGGGCCAAGCACUAGUCCACCCGAGGUGAUUUGGUGGCAAAAUAUUUUGUGGUUCCGGAGAUAUAGCCCCCCAAAGCGCGCAAUUUUUGCAAGUUUGCAAUGGUGCAAUUCUAGCGCCGUGAGGGCUAUCAAAAAGGCGAGUAGAUUUUUGCUCUCGUACCGGACUUCCGAACCAGAGAGUGACAUUUUUUUUGACUGCGCCCACUAGUGGCCGAACUCGGUCAGUGAGCGACGUAGCGUGACGCAUUUUAGAAAUUAUGAUUUGGCAUGUCCUUCUUUACAACAUAUGUGAAUUUCAUGUCCCUACGUAGAAAUAAACUAUUUUUAAUUAAUUAAAAGCAACGGACAAAACCCUAGGCCCCAAAUGAAGCCUGGCCAAGAUUUGAGCCCCUUUUUGGCUGCCGUUCGGCCAUCGUUGAUCCGAGGUUCACGAAAAUUUUUUUGUUUUACCCCAGUGCUGGUCCGAACCAUAGAUUUCAAAUUUGUGUCGGUCGCAUCGUGUUAAGCGUCCGUUUGGGGCCGGAUGGCACUUUUCCCGCCUUUUUUGCCAUGUGCUCGGCAAAGUGGCAUUUCUCAACCAAUUUUCACCAAACAAACGUCGAUUUGGCACGCCGCCAUCACCCCGAGCUAGCCCAGGCAGUUUGGUAGCCGUAGCUCAUUGUUCUGGUGCUGUUCUGGGUCAGAGGUCAGAAAAAAUGAUGGAUUUCAGCUGAAAAACAGGGUUCUCUUCAACCUACAGACUUGCAACUGAUAUGCUCCUUGACCUCACAUGUCCAACAUAUGUUAAUUUCAGACAGAUUGGAGCUUGUAUCACAGAUAUGCAACCAAAAAUAUGUGAAAUUGUGCUUGGUGCAACAUAAUUCUGUGUCCCAUUUUAAAACCAUAAGAGCUAAUAGGGGCUGUUAAUUGGAGUAAUUUAAAACCAAGCUGACCUCUCUAGGACAUUCAGAAGCCAAGUUAUAAGCCCCCAAAGCUGUUUUUGUAAGCAGGCCUUUAAGGCAGAAGUGAUCCGGUGACAUUUAUGACAUCAUUUGACCCCAUUAGGACUGAGCUAUCAUCAUGAAACGUUGGAAUCACUUAUAACUCAAUAGAUUCUGCUUUCCUGUGAUUUUUCAGCCUGAUUGAAGAUUUUUUCAGUGAACUGGACCCAGAAUAAUGUGAAAUUGUGCUUGGGGCUAUCAUCAUGAAACGUUCAGAUCACUUACAACUCAAUAGAUCUUCAUUCUUCCAACAGGUCACACAUUAUUUUUUGUAUUUGGAAUCAAGUAUAUGAGUCAGUUGGGCCUAGUGCAUGAAUGAAAUGCACUUUGAUUGUAUUAAAACAAUCAGUUUGAGUGAAAGUUUCCCCAAAUCAACAAAAGCAUUAAGAGAAAGAAAUUGUCUAUACCAUUUGUUAGUCCAAACUUCCCCUUUAAGUUUUUGCUUGAUCUUUAUUCUGUCUAAAUUUAAUAUUUUUGCCCUUUUACACAUGUUUUUGUCCAUUUAACCUGAAGCUGAUCAGUUUACAUGAUUGGAUUUCUGGGGAAAUAGAUGGCUUUACAUGAGUGUUGAGUUUAGAGCUUUAAUUGACAACAGCAGAUGUUAGAAGUCUGGAACAUGAACUUUACAUGUGUUCAGUCGUCAUGUCCUCAUAUUGUUUCAAGCUGUGAAGGAGAUGUGUGUGUUUCAGAAUACGUCCUCAUAUGGUUGGACCAACAACUGUAGUGUGUGUGUUACACUGUCCUCAUAUUGUUGGGUAGCAGAACUGUACAGUGUUAAUAGUUUCUAUACAGUCUGAUAUAAGGAACUCAGAUUCUUCUGUGAAUUAUAUUCACUGAAAUAAGAAUGAUCUGUAGCUAAUGAACUAGUCAGGAUUUACAUUGUUGUCUUUUGUUUCAGACACCAAGUGUUGAGACCAUGUCCCAACCUCCUACAGACCAAGAAGUGAGUGAAAAAUUCACUUCAUUCUUCCAACAGGUCACACAUUAAUUUUUGUAUUUGAAAUAAAGUAUAUGAGUCAGUUGGGCCUAGUGCAUAAAUGAAAUGCACUUUGAUUGUGUUAAAACAAUCAGUUUGAGUGAAAGUUUCCCCAAAUCAACAUUAGCAUUAGGAGAAAGAAAUUGUCUAUACCAUUUGUUAGUCCAAACUUUCCCUUUAAGCAUUUGCUUGAUCUUUAUUCUAACUAAAUUUAAUAUUUUUGUCCUUUUACACAUGUUUUUGUCCAUUUAACCUGAAGCUGAUCAGUUAAUAUGAUUGGAUUUCUGGGGAAAUAGAUGGCUUUAUGUCAGUGUUGGGUUUAGAGCUUUUAUUGACAACAGCAGGAGAAGCUAGAAGUCAGGAACAUGAACUCUACAUGUGUUCAGUUGUCAUGUCCUCAUAAUUAUUCAAGCUGUAAAGGAGAUGUGUGUGUUUCAGAAUACAUCCUCAUAUGGUUGGACCAACAACUGUAGUGUGUGUGUGUUACACUGUCCUCAUAUUGUUGGGUAGCAGAACUGUACAGUGUUAUUAGUUUCUAUACAGUCUGAUAUAAGGAACUCAGAUUCUUCUGUGAAUAAUGUUCACUGAAACAAGUAUGAUCUGUAGCUAAUGAACUAGUCAGGAUUUACAUUGUUGUCUUUUGUUUCAGACACCAAGUGUUGAGACCAUGUCCCAACCUCCUACAGACCAAGAAGUGAGUGAAAAAUCCAUUUCAUUCUUCCAACAGGUCACACAUUAUUUUUUGUAUUUGAAAUCAAGUAUAUGAGUCAGUUGGGCCUAGUGCAUAAAUGAAAUGCACUUUGAUUGUUUUAAAACAAUCAGUUUGAUUGAAAGUUUCCCCAAAUCAACAUUUGCAUUAGGAGAAAGAAAUUAUCUAUACCAUUUGUUAGUCCAAACUUUCCCUUUAAGCGUUUGCUUGAUCUUUAUUCUGACUAAAUUUAAUAUUUUUGUCUUUUUACACAUGUUUUUGUCCAUUUAACCUGAAGCUGAUCAGUUAACAUGAUUGGAUUUCUGGGGAAAUA